RNAcentral lists this ribosomal RNA (715 nucleotides) under uncultured Bacteroidales bacterium. RNAcentral describes it as "bacterial SSU rRNA". It matches the Rfam family "Bacterial small subunit ribosomal RNA", at positions 69 to 774 of the family's 1533-position model. The record is from RNAcentral. Lineage: Bacteria; Pseudomonadati; Bacteroidota; Bacteroidia; Bacteroidales.
GCAUCGGGAUUGAAGCUUGCUUCAAUUGCCGGCGACCGGCGCACGGGUGCGUAACGCGUAUGUAACCUACCUAUAACAGGGGCAUAACACUGAGAAAUUGGUACUAAUUCCCCAUAAUAUUCGGAGAGGCAUCUCUCCGGGUUGAAAACUCCGGUGGUUAUAGAUGGACAUGCGUUGUAUUAGCUAGUUGGUGAGGUAACGGCUCACCAAGGCAACGAUACAUAGGGGGACUGAGAGGUUAACCCCCCACACUGGUACUGAGACACGGACCAGACUCCUACGGGAGGCAGCAGUGAGGAAUAUUGGUCAAUGGACGCAAGUCUGAACCAGCCAUGCCGCGUGCAGGAAGACGGCUCUAUGAGUUGUAAACUGCUUUUGUACGAGGGUAAACUCACCUACGUGUAGGUGACUGAAAGUAUCGUACGAAUAAGGAUCGGCUAACUCCGUGCCAGCAGCCGCGGUAAUACGGAGGAUUCAAGCGUUAUCCGGAUUUAUUGGGUUUAAAGGGUGCGUAGGCGGUUUGAUAAGUUAGAGGUGAAAUCCCGGGGCUUAACUCCGGAACUGCCUCUAAUACUGUUAGACUAGAGAGUAGUUGCGGUAGGCGGAAUGUAUGGUGUAGCGGUGAAAUGCUUAGAGAUCAUACAGAACACCGAUUGCGAAGGCAGCUUACCAAACUAUAUCUGACGUUGAGGCACGAAAGCGUGGGGAGCAAACA